RNAcentral lists this ribosomal RNA (294 nucleotides) under uncultured bacterium. RNAcentral's name for it is "partial 16S ribosomal RNA". It matches the Rfam family "Bacterial small subunit ribosomal RNA", at positions 334 to 642 of the family's 1533-position model. The record is from RNAcentral.
UGUACCUACGGGGGGCAGCAGUGGGGAAUAUUGGGCAAUGGGCGCAAGCCUGACCCAGCAACGCCGCGUGAAGGAAGAAGGCUUUCGGGUUGUAAACUUCUUUUCUCAGGGACGAAGCAAGUGACGGUACCUGAGGAAUAAGCCACGGCUAACUACGUGCCAGCAGCCGCGGUAAUACGUAGGUGGCAAGCGUUAUCCGGAUUUACUGGGUGUAAAGGGCGUGUAGGCGGGGACGCAAGGCAGCUGUGAAAACCACGGGCUCAACCUGUGGCCUGCAUUUGAAACUGUGGUUCU